AAACAAUGAAGCAUGAUAUUCCGACCAUUCAGUCAAUGCCUGUUCUGAAUUUUAGUAGCAGACCUACUAACACUCACAUGAAUUGGAGGACAACCAGUCGAACACCUCUUCAUCAUCAUUGGACAACUAGCAUCUAUCAUAUACUUGUUUCA
This is a long non-coding RNA of Cervus elaphus (red deer), 152 nucleotides long. RefSeq lists it as uncharacterized. The transcript is spliced from 3 exons. The record is from RefSeq and is a predicted model, not a curated record. NCBI's taxonomy places the organism in Eukaryota, Metazoa, Chordata, Mammalia, Artiodactyla, Cervidae.